This 240-nucleotide ribosomal RNA is filed under the name uncultured bacterium. RNAcentral describes it as "partial 16S ribosomal RNA". It matches the Rfam family "Bacterial small subunit ribosomal RNA", at positions 523 to 762 of the family's 1533-position model. The record is from RNAcentral.
UAAUCAAGGGGGCUAGCGUUGUUCGGAAUUACUGGGCGUAAAGCGCAUGUAGGCGGACGUUUAAGUCAGGGGUGAAAUCCCGGGGCUCAACCUCGGGACUGCCUUUGAUACUGGGUGUCUAGAGUGUGGAAGAGGUAAGUGGAAUUCCGAGUGUAGAGGUGAAAUUCGUAGAUAUUCGGAGGAACACCAGUGGCGAAGGCGGCUUACUGGUCCAUUACUGACGCUGAGGUGCGAAAGCGU